This 254-nucleotide ribosomal RNA is filed under the name uncultured bacterium. RNAcentral describes it as "partial 16S ribosomal RNA". It matches the Rfam family "Bacterial small subunit ribosomal RNA", at positions 524 to 776 of the family's 1533-position model. The record is from RNAcentral.
UACGUAGGGUCCAAGCGUUGUCCGGAUUUAUUGGGCGUAAAGAGCUCGUAGGCGGCUCAGUAAGUCGGAGGUGAAAACUCGGGGCUCAACCCCGAGACGCCAUCCGAUACUGCUGUGGCUUGAGUCUGGUAGGGGAACACGGAAUUCCUGGUGUAGCGGUGAAAUGCGCAGAUAUCAGGAGGAACACCGAUGGCGAAGGCAGUGUUCUGGGCCAGUACUGACGCUGAGGAGCGAAAGCGUGGGGAGCGAACAGG